ACACUCCCCUGCGACCGAUAGCGCACAAGUACCGUGAGGGAAAGGUGAAAAGCACCCCGGGAGGGGAGUGAAACAGCACCUGAAACCGUGCGCCCGCGAGCAGUCGGAGCAGCGUAUGCUGUGACGGCGUGCCUUUUGUAGAAUGAGCCAGCGAGCCACCGGUGCGGGGCGAGGUUAAGCUCGGAAGCGAGCCGCAGCGAAAGCGAGUCCGAACAGGGCG
RNAcentral lists this ribosomal RNA (220 nucleotides) under Collinsella intestinalis. Its description in RNAcentral is "partial 23S ribosomal RNA". It matches the Rfam family "Bacterial large subunit ribosomal RNA", at positions 470 to 694 of the family's 2925-position model. Lineage: Bacteria; Bacillati; Actinomycetota; Coriobacteriia; Coriobacteriales; Coriobacteriaceae. The record is from RNAcentral.